GGGGGGGGGGGGGGGGGGGCGGGGGGGGGGGGGGGCGGGCGGGGGGGCGGGGGGGGUGUGGGGUGGUCGGGGGGCGCGCGGGUGGGUAAGACGUGAGUGGCCGGCCCGUGACUUUGGGGGAGCUUCAGGAACCUGGGGCUAAUACCGGAUAGGAGCCCCUGCUGCAUGGGGGGGGUUGGAAAGUUUCGGCGGUUGGGGAUGGACGCGCGGCUUAUCAGCUUGUUGGUGGGGUAGUGGAUGACCAAGGCUUUGACUGGUAGCCGGCCUGCGCGGGUGACCGGCCACAUUGGGACUGAGAUACGGCCCAGACUCCUACGGGAGGCAGCAGUGGGGAAUAUUGCACAAUGGGCGGAAGCCUGAUGCAGCAACGCCGCGUGCGGGAUGACGGCCUUCGGGUUGUAAACCGCUUUCGCCUGUGACGAAGCGUGAGUGACGGUAAUGGGUAAAGAAGCACCGGCUAACUACGUG
RNAcentral lists this ribosomal RNA (468 nucleotides) under uncultured bacterium. RNAcentral's name for it is "partial 16S ribosomal RNA". It matches the Rfam family "Bacterial small subunit ribosomal RNA", at positions 38 to 507 of the family's 1533-position model. The record is from RNAcentral.